RNAcentral lists this ribosomal RNA (461 nucleotides) under uncultured bacterium. RNAcentral describes it as "partial 16S ribosomal RNA". It matches the Rfam family "Bacterial small subunit ribosomal RNA", at positions 338 to 795 of the family's 1533-position model. The record is from RNAcentral.
CCUACGGGAGGCAGCAGUGAGGAAUAUUGGUCAAUGGGCUUACGCCUGAACCAGCCAAGUCGCGUGAGGGAAGACUGCCCUAUGGGUUGUAAACCUCUUUUGUCAGGGAGCAACGCCGGCUACGUGUAGCCGGACUGAGAGUACCUGACGAAAAAGCAUCGGCUAACUCCGUGCCAGCAGCCGCGGUAAUACGUAGGUGGCAAGCGUUGUCCGGAUUUUAUGGGUGUAAAGGGCGUGCAGCCGGGGAGACAAGUCAGAUGUGAAAUCCACUGGCUGAAAUCGUGAAAUGCAUUUGAAACUGUUUAACUUGAGUGUCGGAGAGGUAAUCGGAAUUCCUUGUGUAGCGGUGAAAUGCGUAGAUAUAAGGAAGAACACCAGUGGCGAAGGCGGAUUACUGGACGAUAACUGACGGUGAGGCGCGAAAGCGUGGGGAGCAAACAGGAUUAGAUACCCUUGUAGUC